AUGAUAGAGCGCUUCCAGGGCGAAGAGAAGAUCUACCACAGUUUUGAUAUUGCAGAGGAUGAUCCACACGACUAUUAUGCCCCCAAGUUCCUGAACAACCAGACUCCCAACGGGCUGCCUCCACAUGCGCUCAAACUGAAGAUAAAUUGCCCCGUUAUACUGUUGAGAAACAUUGAUCCAGCUAAUGGGUUGUGUAACGGCACAAGGCUUGUGGUCCGGGGUUUCCAGAGGAACGCCAUCGACGCAGAAAUCGUGCUAGGACAACAUGCUGGUAGGAGGGUGUUCCUUCCUCGGAUACCUCUCUGCCCAUCCGAUGACGAUAUAUUUCCUUUCAAGUUCAAGAGGAAGCAGUUCCCUAUUAGGCUCAGUUUUGCCAUGACAAUCAACAAGGCGCAAGGGCAGACCAUCCCGAUUGUCGGGGUGUACCUACCGGACCCGAUAUUCUCUCACGGUCAGCUCUACGUCGCAUUGUCUAGAGCCACCGCAAAGAGGAAUAUUAAGAUUCUCGCCAUCAAGGACAAUGGCAACGGUAAGGGUAAGGGCAAGGGCAAGGAACAAAUCAAGAAUUCAAAUAAGCGAAAAAGAUCUGAGCCCUUUUUAAUGACCAUGAAGAACAUAGUCUACAAGGAAGUCCUUAGCACAUGA
This 645-nucleotide ribosomal RNA is filed under the name Triticum aestivum (bread wheat). Its description in RNAcentral is "partial small subunit ribosomal RNA". Lineage: Eukaryota; Viridiplantae; Streptophyta; Magnoliopsida; Poales; Poaceae. The record is from RNAcentral.